Molecule: long non-coding RNA, 328 nt
Filed under: Homo sapiens (human)
Lineage: Eukaryota; Metazoa; Chordata; Mammalia; Primates; Hominidae
Description: non-protein coding lnc-EPB41L2-1:1
Source: RNAcentral
GCAUACGAAUCUCAUUUGAUGGUAUCUCUAGAUUUGCAAUUUAUACUUCAGUAACACUAAACUACUUGUAGGCCCCUAAAUAGGACUUGAUUUAUUUGCAUAUGCUGAGCCCCUCUGCCCCGCCACGACCCCGUCUGGGAGGUGUGCCCAGCGGCUCAUUGGGGAUGGGCCAUUAGGAUUCAGGUAGUGUGGCCCAUUCACGCCACGAGCAUUUAAUUCUAAGUAUAUUAAUGUAUGCUGCUUCUUUCCCCUGCUUCUCCAUGAGGGCAGGGAUUUUAUAGUCUCCAUCCAAAGUCUAGUAUGCAGGAGUUUCUAAAUAAAUGUUUAU